RNAcentral lists this small RNA (87 nucleotides) under Flavobacterium degerlachei. Its description in RNAcentral is "Flavo-1 RNA". It matches the Rfam family "Flavo-1 RNA". Lineage: Bacteria; Pseudomonadati; Bacteroidota; Flavobacteriia; Flavobacteriales; Flavobacteriaceae. The record is from RNAcentral.
CAAUAGCCCAGGUAGAAGCGGCAUCCUCUUGUGACUCCCAAUAUUUAUUGGGAGUCACAAGAGAUACAGCGGAUGACUGGAAAAAGC